RNAcentral lists this ribosomal RNA (403 nucleotides) under uncultured bacterium. RNAcentral describes it as "bacterial SSU rRNA". It matches the Rfam family "Bacterial small subunit ribosomal RNA", at positions 356 to 773 of the family's 1533-position model. The record is from RNAcentral.
AGGGAAUAUUGCACAAUGGGGGAAACCCUGAUGCAGCGACGCCGCGUGAAGGAAGAAGGUCUUCGGAUCGUAAACUUCUAUCAGCAGGGAAAAAGGUAGUGACGGUACCUGACUAAGAAGCCCCGGCUAACUACGUGCCAGCAGCCGCGGUAAUACGUAGGGGGCAAGCGUUAUCCGGAAUCACUGGGUGUAAAGGGUGCGUAGGCGGUAGGGCAAGUCAGAUGUGAAAGCCCGGGGCUCAACUCCGGGAUUGCAUUUGAAACUGUCUUACUAGAGUGCAGGAGAGGAAAGCGGAAUUCCUAGUGUAGCGGUGAAAUGCGUAGAUAUUAGGAAGAACACCAGUGGCGAAGGCGGCUUUCUGGACUGUAACUGACGCUGAGGCACGAAAGCGUGGGGAGCGAAC